UACGUAGGGUGCGAGCGUUAAUCGGAAUUACUGGGCGUAAAGCGUGCGCAGGCGGUGAUGUAAGACAGGUGUGAAAUCCCCGGGCUUAACCUGGGAACUGCAUUUGUGACUGCAUCGCUGGAGUGCGGCAGAGGGGGAUGGAAUUCCUGGUGUAGCAGUGAAAUGCGUAGAUAUCAGGAGGAACACCGAUGGCGAAGGCAGGUCUCUGGGCUGACACUGACGCUCAUGCACGAAAGCGUGGGGAGCAAACAGG
RNAcentral lists this ribosomal RNA (253 nucleotides) under uncultured bacterium. RNAcentral's name for it is "partial 16S ribosomal RNA". It matches the Rfam family "Bacterial small subunit ribosomal RNA", at positions 524 to 776 of the family's 1533-position model. The record is from RNAcentral.